This 523-nucleotide ribosomal RNA is filed under the name uncultured bacterium. RNAcentral's name for it is "bacterial SSU rRNA". It matches the Rfam family "Bacterial small subunit ribosomal RNA", at positions 775 to 1296 of the family's 1533-position model. The record is from RNAcentral.
AGUCAAUAGAUACCCGGGUAGUCCACGCCGUAAACGAUGAGUACUAGGUGUAGGAGGUAUCGACUCCUUCUGUGCCGCAGUUAAACACAAUAAGUACUCCGCCUGGGAAGUACGGUCGCAAGAUUAAAAACUCAAAGGAAUUGACGGGGGCCCGCACAAGCAGCGGAGCAUGUGGUUUAAUUCGAAGCAACGCGAAGAACCUUACCUAGACUUGACAUCUCCUGAAUAGCGCAGAGAUGCGUGAAGCCCUUCGGGGCAGGAAGACAGGUGGUGCAUGGUUGUCGUCAGCUCGUGUCGUGAGAUGUUGGGUUAAGUCCCGCAACGAGCGCAACCCCUAUUAUUAGUUGCUACCAUUAAGUUGAGCACUCUAAUGAGACUGCCCGGGUUAACCGGGAGGAAGGCGGGGAUGACGUCAAAUCAUCAUGCCCCUUAUGUCUAGGGCUACACACGUGCUACAAUGGUGAGAACAACGAGAUGCAAUACCGCGAGGUGGAGCAAAACUUGAAAACUCAUCUCAGUUCGG